UGAAGACGGCCUGCGGGUUGUAAAGCCCUUUAGGCGGGGAGGAACGACGGGACGCGGAUACCGUUUCGAAGUGACGUUACCCGCAGAAUAAGCACCGGCUAACUCCGUGCCAGCAGCCGCGGUAAUACGGAGGGUGCGAGCGUUAAUCGGAAUUACUGGGCGUAAAGCGUGCGUAGGCGGUGGGGUCAGUCAGCCGUGAAAGCCCUGGGCUUAACCUGGGAACGGCGGUUGAGACGGCCCGACUUGAGUGGGCUAGAGGAUCGUGGAAUUCCGGGUGUAGCGGUGAAAUGCGUAGAGAUCCGGAGGAACACCGAUGGCGAAGGCAGCGGUCUGGGGCCACACUGACGCUGAGGCACGACGGCGUGGGGAGCAAACAGGAUUAGAUACCCUGGUAGUCCACGCAGUAAACGAUGAGCACUAGACGCCGGGGGGGUGACUUUUCGGUGUCGUAGCUAACGCGCUAAGUGCUCCGCCUGGGGAGUACGGCCNNAAGGUNNNNAAACUCAAAGGAAUUGACGGGGGCCCGCACAAGCGGUGGAGCAUGUGGUUUAAUUCGAUGCAACGCGAAGAACCUUACCUGGCCUUGACAUCCGGGGNUAUCGCCAGAGAUGGCGAGUGCCGCAAGGAGCCCCGAGACAGGUGCUGCAUGGNCUGUCGUCAGCUCGUU
Molecule: ribosomal RNA, 667 nt
Filed under: uncultured Gammaproteobacteria bacterium
Lineage: Bacteria; Pseudomonadati; Pseudomonadota; Gammaproteobacteria
Description: bacterial SSU rRNA
Rfam family: Bacterial small subunit ribosomal RNA
Source: RNAcentral